GCCGGAUCGGAUAGCCGGAAAACGGGACCGGUGCGGACCCUCGGAAUGUGGGACAACCGGAGCCUGAUCACCUCCUAAAUACGGUAAUAACUGCUCAUUAGCAAUUUGCCUGUAUUCUCCUGCUUUGUGUGGUUCUGUCUCCGUGUCCAAUUCCGGCUUCCAGAAGGCUACAAGACAGGUGCCUAUACGAACCUGUUGAUUGUCU
Pelobates cultripes (western spadefoot toad) is the source of this 205-nucleotide non-coding RNA. The record is from the annotation of a GenBank genome assembly. NCBI's taxonomy places the organism in Eukaryota, Metazoa, Chordata, Amphibia, Anura, Pelobatidae.